AAAGUACUCCCUCCGUCCCAAAAUUCUUGUCUUAGAUUUGUCUAGGCACGGAUGUAUCAAGUCACAUUUUAGUAUUAGAUACAUCCGUAUCUAGACAAAUCUAAGACAAGAAAUUUGGGACAGAGGGAGUAGUUG
Triticum aestivum (bread wheat) is the source of this 135-nucleotide non-coding RNA. NCBI's taxonomy places the organism in Eukaryota, Viridiplantae, Streptophyta, Magnoliopsida, Poales, Poaceae. The record is from Rfam.